AGCAGCCGCGGUAAUUCCAGCUCCAAUAGCGUAUAUUAAAGUUGUUGCAGUUAAAAAGCUCGUAGUUGAAUUUCGGGGUUAGUAGGUUGGUCGUGCCACUGGUAUGUACUGGCUCUACUGAUCCCUCCUUCUUGUAGAACCGUAAUGCCAUUAACUUGGUGUUGCGGGGAAACAGGACUGUUACUUUGAAAAAAUUAGAGUGUUUAAAGCAGGCUAACGCUUGAAUACAUUAGCAUGGAAUAAUGAAAUAGGACGCUCGAUCCUAUUUUGUUGGUUUCUAGGAUUGACGUAAUGAUUAAUAGGGAUAGUUGGGGGCAUUAGUAUUCAAUUGUCAGAGGUGAAAUUCUUGGAUUUAUUGAAGACUAACUACUGCGAAAGCAUUUGCCAAGGAUGUUUUCAUUAAUCAAGAACGAAAGUUAGGGGAUCGAAGACGAUCAGAUACCGUCGUAG
RNAcentral lists this ribosomal RNA (450 nucleotides) under uncultured Glomeromycotina. Its description in RNAcentral is "SSU rRNA". It matches the Rfam family "Eukaryotic small subunit ribosomal RNA", at positions 569 to 1023 of the family's 1831-position model. The record is from RNAcentral. Lineage: Eukaryota; Fungi; Glomeromycota.